AGAAAUUUAGGUUACUAAAACCAAGGACCUUCAAAGUCCUAAACAGGGUCAGCCCCCUAAUUUCUG
Molecule: transfer RNA, 66 nt
Filed under: Hemidactylus fasciatus (banded leaf-toed gecko)
Lineage: Eukaryota; Metazoa; Chordata; Lepidosauria; Squamata; Gekkonidae
Description: tRNA-Trp
Source: RNAcentral